CACAAUAAAAUAUGAAGGCUGUACGCGGCUGUGCUCUCGGGCCAGUUUUGCGGAGGCUGAAUUAUUUAUUACCCUUGUCUUUUGCGCACUUGUUGUUUCCUGGGCGGGUUCGCCCGCCACCAGGACCACAUCAUAAACCUUUUUUAUGUAGUUGCAAUUCAGAGUCAGUAUAAAAUAGUAAAUCAUUA
Molecule: unclassified non-coding RNA, 188 nt
Filed under: soil metagenome
Description: partial internal transcribed spacer 1
Source: RNAcentral